This 463-nucleotide long non-coding RNA is filed under the name Ananas comosus (pineapple). Its description in RNAcentral is "long non-coding RNA (ACOM_LNC035444)". The record is from RNAcentral. Lineage: Eukaryota; Viridiplantae; Streptophyta; Magnoliopsida; Poales; Bromeliaceae.
UGGAUAUUACUAGAGAUGUCAAUGAGUCAGAUUCGAGAAAAAUUUUCAAAAAUUUCAAUCCGAACCCGAUUACCAAAUCCGAAACACGAACCCAAACCCGAACCAGAAUCCAAAAAUCCGAAUUCGAAAUAACUAUUUUUCUUUACCAUAUUUCAAAAUAUAUUAUAUUAAAUCUAAAUUUUUAAAAUACAAAUUCAAAUAUAACAUUAAAUAUUAACCCGAAUCGGAAAUAAUCAUUUUUCUUUAUCAUAUUUCAAAACAUAUUAUAUUAAAUUUUUAUUUUUAAAAUAUAAAAUCAAAUAUAACGUUAAAUAUAUAUAUAUAUAUAGAGAGAGAGAGAGAGAGAGAGAAGGGCUACUAUACUCCUAUCAAUAUAGAGCCCUUCGUACUCAUAAGUUAUUUUUAAUGAUAGAACUUUCGAAUCAACGAUCCACAUUAUUAAAUAUAAUCUAAAGUAUUUAAA